RNAcentral lists this microRNA precursor (190 nucleotides) under Arabidopsis halleri. The record is from RNAcentral. Lineage: Eukaryota; Viridiplantae; Streptophyta; Magnoliopsida; Brassicales; Brassicaceae.
UUAAAGUAACAAAAUUAGGACUUCAUUCUUUCUUUUUUCUUUUUUCAUAUAACACUAUUUCUUACAAUUAGUAACAAUCGCUGUUUCUGGAUAUUACAUGUAAUAUCCAGAAACAACGAUUCUUACUGAUUGUAAGAAAUAGUGUUAUGACAAAGAAAAAAGAAAGAAUGAAUCAUAAUUUUAGAAGACG